AAAGAUCAGUAGAAGCUCCCCAUACAAUGAAACCUGAGCUCUGUGAAAGGCAGCCAGCCCCAGGUGACUAAGUCUCGAUGGGAGAAGAAGACACUUCUCAAGAUGGGAGGCAGUUUUACAGAGAACCAGCCACCACUCUGCUCCAGGAGUGGAAGGUCCCUAAGAACUCAACUGGGAGAUUUGAAUUUCGAGUGGUCACCCCACGCCUGCACUACUCCACACCUGCGCUACCUCACACCUGAGCUGCCCCACAGCUGGGUCACUCCACACCCAAGCCACUCUUCACCUGUGCUAGUCACCCCACACCUGCUACUUCCCACCUGAGCUGCCCCACACCUGAGCCCACACCUGGAUUUGGGAGUUUUCCAAGUCAUAUAAAAUGGUUUAUCUGCCCUGCUAACACCUCU
Molecule: long non-coding RNA, 407 nt
Filed under: Mus caroli (Ryukyu mouse)
Lineage: Eukaryota; Metazoa; Chordata; Mammalia; Rodentia; Muridae
Description: glutamate decarboxylase 1, opposite strand (MGP_CAROLIEiJ_G0003198.1)
Source: RNAcentral